This 253-nucleotide ribosomal RNA is filed under the name uncultured bacterium. RNAcentral's name for it is "partial 16S ribosomal RNA". It matches the Rfam family "Bacterial small subunit ribosomal RNA", at positions 524 to 776 of the family's 1533-position model. The record is from RNAcentral.
UACGAAGGGGGCUAGCGUUGCUCGGAAUCACUGGGCGUAAAGCGCACGUAGGCGGUUUGUUAAGUCAGGGGUGAAAUCCUGGAGCUCAACUCCAGAACUGCCUCAGAUACUGAGGAGCUCGAGUCCGGGAGAGGUGAGUGGAACUCCGAGUGUAGAGGUGAAAUUCGUAGAUAUUCGGAAGAACACCAGUGGCGAAGGCGGCUCACUGGCCCGGUACUGACGCUGAGGUGCGAAAGCGUGGGGAGCAAACAGG